UACGUAGGGUGCAAGCGUUAUCCGGAUUUAUUGGGCGUAAAGGGCGCGUAGGCGGCCACGCACGUCCGUUGUGAAAUCGCCCGGCUCAACCUGGGCGGGUCAGCGGAUACGGUGUGGCUCGAGCAAGCUAGGGGGCAAUGGAAUUCCCGGUUGUGAGUGGUGGAAUGCGUAGAUAUCGGGAGGAACACCAGUGGCGAAGGCGGUUGCCUGGAGCUUUGCUGACGCUGAGGCGGCGAAAGCGUGGGGAGCGAGUCCGG
This 257-nucleotide ribosomal RNA is filed under the name uncultured bacterium. RNAcentral's name for it is "partial 16S ribosomal RNA". It matches the Rfam family "Bacterial small subunit ribosomal RNA", at positions 524 to 777 of the family's 1533-position model. The record is from RNAcentral.